UAAAAGGCCCUUUUCAGGGCCCCCCUACUUUCUCAGCUGAGGAGUGG
Molecule: non-coding RNA, 47 nt
Organism: Macaca mulatta (Rhesus monkey)
Lineage: Eukaryota; Metazoa; Chordata; Mammalia; Primates; Cercopithecidae
Source: Rfam